CCUACGAGCGGCAGCAGUGGGGAAUAUUGGACAAUGGGGGAAACCCUGAUCCAGCGACGCCGCGUGAGUGAAGAAGUAUUUCGGUACGUAAAGCUCUAUCAGCAGGAAAGAAAAUGACGGUACCUGACUCAGAAGCCCCGGCUAACUACGUGCCAGCAGCCGCGGUAAUACGUAGGGGGCAAGCGUUAUCCGGAUUUACUGGGUGUAAAGGGAGCGUAGACGGCAGCGCAAGUCUGGAGUGAAAUGCCGGGGCCCAACCCCGGAACUGCACUGGAAACUGUGAAGCUGGAGGGCAGGAGAGGUAAGCAGAAUUCGUGGUGGAGCGGUGAAAUGCGUAGAUAUCAGGAGGAACACCGGCGGCGAAGGCGGCUUACUGGACUGUAACUGACGUUGAGGCUCGAAGGCGUGGGGAGCAAACAGGAUUAGAUACCCCAGUAGUC
This 440-nucleotide ribosomal RNA is filed under the name uncultured bacterium. RNAcentral's name for it is "partial 16S ribosomal RNA". It matches the Rfam family "Bacterial small subunit ribosomal RNA", at positions 338 to 795 of the family's 1533-position model. The record is from RNAcentral.